RNAcentral lists this ribosomal RNA (484 nucleotides) under uncultured bacterium. RNAcentral describes it as "partial 16S ribosomal RNA". It matches the Rfam family "Bacterial small subunit ribosomal RNA", at positions 30 to 507 of the family's 1533-position model. The record is from RNAcentral.
AUUGAACGCUGGCGGCAGGCCUAACACAUGCAAGUCGAGCGGAUGAAGGGAGCUUGCUCCUGGAUUCAGUGGCGGACGGGUGAGUAAUGCCUAGGAAUCUGCCUGGUAGUGGGGGAUAACGUCCGGAAACGGGCGCUAAUACCGCAUACGUCCUGAGGGAGAAAGUGGGGGAUCUUCGGACCUCACGCUAUCAGAUGAGCCUAGGUCGGAUUGGCUAGUUGGUGGGGUAAAGGCCUACCAAGGCGACGAUCCGUAACUGGUCUGAGAGGAUGAUCAGUCACACUGGAACUGAGACACGGUCCAGACUCCUACGGGAGGCAGCAGUGGGGAAUAUUGGACAAUGGGCGAAAGCCUGAUCCAGCCAUGCCGCGUGUGUGAAGAAGGUCUUCGGAUUGUAAAGCACUUUAAGUUGGGAGGAAGGGCAGUAAGUUAAUACCUUGCUGUUUUGACGUUACCAACAGAAUAAGCACCGGCUAACUUCGUG